This 253-nucleotide ribosomal RNA is filed under the name uncultured bacterium. RNAcentral describes it as "partial 16S ribosomal RNA". It matches the Rfam family "Bacterial small subunit ribosomal RNA", at positions 524 to 776 of the family's 1533-position model. The record is from RNAcentral.
UACGUAGGGGGCAAGCGUUGUCCGGAUUUAUUGGGCGUAAAGCGCGUGUAGGCGGCCAGGUAGGUCCGCUGUGAAAACCCGAGGCUCAACCUCGGGACGUCGGCGGAAACCAUCUGGCUAGAGUCCGGAAGAGGAGAGUGGAAUUCCCGGUGUAGCGGUGAAAUGCGCAGAUAUCGGGAAGAACACCCGUGGCGAAGGCGGCUCUCUGGACCACAACUGACGCUGAGGCGCGAAGGCCAGGGGAGCAAACGGG